UUGAACGCUGGCGGCAUGCUUUACACAUGCAAGUCGAGCGGCAGCGCGGGGCAACCUGGCGGCGAGCGGCGAACGGGUGAGUAACACAUCGGAACGUAUCUUCAAGUGGGGGAUAACCUAUCGAAAGGUAGGCUAAUACCGCAUAAGCAAGGGAUUGGAAAGCGGGGGAUUCGCGAGGACCUCGCGCUUUUGGAGCGGCCGAUGUCGGAUUAGGUAGUUGGUGGGGUAAAGGCUCACCAAGCCUGCGAUCCGUAGCGGGUCUGAGAGGAUGAUCCGCCACACUGGGACUGAGACACGGCCCAGACUCCUACGGGAGGCAGCAGUGGGGAAUUUUGGACAAUGGGGGCAACCCUGAUCCAGCCAUGCCGCGUGAGUGAAGAAGGCCUUCGGGUUGUAAAGACUCUUUCGGCGGGAACGAAAUACGCACUCACUAACACUGGGUGUGGA
Molecule: ribosomal RNA, 447 nt
Filed under: uncultured bacterium
Lineage: Bacteria
Description: bacterial SSU rRNA
Rfam family: Bacterial small subunit ribosomal RNA
Source: RNAcentral